Molecule: ribosomal RNA, 512 nt
Filed under: uncultured bacterium
Lineage: Bacteria
Description: partial 16S ribosomal RNA
Rfam family: Bacterial small subunit ribosomal RNA
Source: RNAcentral
GAUGAACGCUGGCGGCGUGCCUAAUACAUGCAAGUCGAACGAAACUUCUUUAUCACCGAGUGCUUGCACUCACCGAUAAAGAGUUGAGUGGCGAACGGGUGAGUAACACGUGGGCAACCUGCCCAAAAGAGGGGGAUAACACUUGGAAACAGGUGCUAAUACCGCAUAACCAUAGUUACCGCAUGGUAACUAUGUAAAAGGUGGCUAUACUACCGCUUUUGGAUGGGCCCGCGGCGCAUUAGCUAGUUGGUAGGGUAAAGGCUUACCAAGGCAAUGAUGCGUAGCCGAAUUGAGAGGUUGAUCGGCCACAUUGGGACUGAGUCACGGCCCAAACUCCUACGGGAGGCAGCAGUAGGGAAUCUUCCACAAUGGGCGAAAGCCUGAUGGAGCAACGCCGCGUGGGUGAAGAAGGUCUUCGGAUCGUAAAACCCUGUUGUUAGAGAAGAAAGUGCGUGAGAGUAACUGUUCACGUUUCGACGGUAUCUAACCAGAAAGCCACGGCUAACUACGUG